UGAAACUGGUACGAAAAAUUUAUUCAUAAUAAAUAUGAAAACUCGAGAAUAGGGAUGACCAAGACGGUUGUGCCAAGUGCGAAGAGGAAUUGUUGUAGUGGCAGCAUGAACAAUAGGCUUGCAGUUGGUGAAGUUGGGUCAUUCGUAAAGUCCGUCUCUAUGCCGACAAAUACCAACGGAGUCCGUGUUUUCAGAUCCUUCACACAAAAAUUAGAUGAAAAAAAUUCAAUGGAGGUCAGAUUAUCUUGACAAAAUUUUGAAACAGAAACAAUAUUUUGUUUAAUAGCUGGUGCAUAUGAAGUGUUGUGUAGCUUAAAGGAAUUAUUUGAUGCAAGUAAUUUUGUAGAGCCAAUAUGAGUAAUUGGAAUUAUUUUAUCAUCACCCAUUGUUAUGCUUUUUAAACCAGUAUAUUCUUCAAGAUUAAGAGAUUCAAUGGUAACAUGGUGGGAAGCUCCAGAAUCAAGAAUCCACGGAUCAACAGCGGCUUGUGAAGUGGAAAUAAAAUGGGCUUUGGCUUGUAGAUGAUUGUGAGAUUAAGAUUUGCAGACAUUUGUAGUAUGACCAAAUUUGUUGCACAACUGACAACGAACUGAAUUGUAGCUGAAAUUAUUACGCCCUUGAGAUGGAGCAUUGGAAUUGUUAUUGCAAUAUUGAGAAUUAGAGUUGUUGGUGUUGGGUCGACGAGGGUUGCGGCUAUUGGAAUUAUUAAAUUUAUUUCGAGUAGUAACUGCUACUGUAAUUGGAGUGGCUACCUUCUUUGAUUCCUCAUAUUUAAGAAAGAGUUCAUUGCAGCAGAUAUGUCACGAAAUUUUGGUCCAAGACUACUAAGAACUUUCACAAUUAAUUCAUCAUUAGAUACUUUAGUACCUGUUGUUGCAAGUUCAUCACAGAGAGAUCUGACUUGAUGGAGAUAAUCUACUACAGAGUUUGAGUCCUUCGUAAGACGAGCAAGCUGGUCUCGAAAACUAAAAAU
RNAcentral lists this long non-coding RNA (973 nucleotides) under Manihot esculenta (cassava). RNAcentral's name for it is "long non-coding RNA (MESC_LNC007523)". Lineage: Eukaryota; Viridiplantae; Streptophyta; Magnoliopsida; Malpighiales; Euphorbiaceae. The record is from RNAcentral.